ACAAGAGAAUCAAAAAUUUAAAGCGACGUCCAACAACUCCGUACUUCACAGUAGAUGCUCUGCAUGGCCGGUUCUGAAACAUUUCAGAACCUCUGAACCAGGAUGAUGCUUUGAGGACGAUGUCCGAAUCUUUUUCAAACGACUUCACAGGGAGAAAUUCUACAUUUGUAGACCAGGAACCACUAAAUUGACUGGAUGAGGUGAAGAAUGAACAGAGAUGGUGCUGCUCUGAGGGGUGACAUUUCAGUCUGUGUCUCAGGGGGCGGAGGCUCUGCCUUCUGCUUUUCAUGUCCUCGUGCAGCUUGACCCCCCCACCCUGCCUCAGAAUGUGAAGGUCGGGGUUGAUGAGAGCUCAAAGGUAUGUUUGGUGUUCUCUGCAGAGCGCUUCUCAUGCAAGACCAGAUAAAGAUUUGCAUUUACAACACAAACCUACGAAUGAAAAAAAA
Molecule: long non-coding RNA, 446 nt
Organism: Oryzias melastigma (Indian medaka)
Lineage: Eukaryota; Metazoa; Chordata; Actinopteri; Beloniformes; Adrianichthyidae
Exons: 2
Source: RefSeq, a predicted model, not a curated record